UGAGUACUUUGUGGCUCAGUCAAGUGU
Molecule: non-coding RNA, 27 nt
Filed under: Mus musculus (house mouse)
Lineage: Eukaryota; Metazoa; Chordata; Mammalia; Rodentia; Muridae
Source: RNAcentral